GAUGAAGAACGCAGCGAAAUGCGAUAAGUAAUGUGAAUUGCAGAAUUCAGUGAAUCAUCGAAUCUUUGAACGCACAUUGCGCCCGCCAGCAUUCUGGCGGGCAUGCCUGUUCGAGCGUCAUUUCAACCCUCAAGCUCUGCUUGGUGUUGGGGCCCUACGGUUGACGUAGGCCCUUAAAGGUAGUGGCGGACCCUCUCGGAGCCUCCUUUGCGUAGUAACUAACGUCUCGCAUUGGGAUUCGGAGGGACUCUUGCCGUAAAACCCCCAAAUUUUCUAAUGGUUGACCUCGGAUCAGGUAGGAAUACCCGCUGAACUUAAGCAUAACAAUAAGCGGAGGA
Molecule: unclassified non-coding RNA, 338 nt
Filed under: soil metagenome
Description: partial contains 5.8S ribosomal RNA, internal transcribed spacer 2, and large subunit ribosomal RNA
Rfam family: 5.8S ribosomal RNA (bases 1-120)
Source: RNAcentral